This 305-nucleotide long non-coding RNA is filed under the name Gossypium barbadense (sea-island cotton). RNAcentral describes it as "long non-coding RNA (GBAR_LNC002605)". Lineage: Eukaryota; Viridiplantae; Streptophyta; Magnoliopsida; Malvales; Malvaceae. The record is from RNAcentral.
UUGAUUCAGUUUUCAUCUAAUUCAGGAGACUAUUCGUCUCCAGUACACAUUUCAUAAUCAAUACCAUCGAUAUUUUCCUCUAACAUUUUCACUAUAAAACAGUACCAAACAAAUAUAUCAGCAUCCGAUCCCGACUCAAUUUUGACUCAAUUAUGGCAUGUACCUCUAGACUCAAUUCCGAGCUCGAUUUAGUCCGAGAAUCGGCUAAACCUGAAUAGCUCUGAUACCACUAAUUUGUAACGUCCCUUAACCCUAUACCGUCACCAGAACAGGGUUACAAGACAUUACCAGUCAGUACAGUCCAA